RNAcentral lists this transfer RNA (75 nucleotides) under Pseudoalteromonas luteoviolacea. RNAcentral's name for it is "tRNA-Gln". It matches the Rfam family "tRNA". Rfam says of the family: Transfer RNA (tRNA) molecules are approximately 80 nucleotides in length. RNAcentral also lists the same sequence under 107 other names. Lineage: Bacteria; Pseudomonadati; Pseudomonadota; Gammaproteobacteria; Alteromonadales; Pseudoalteromonadaceae. The record is from RNAcentral.
UGGAGUAUCGCCAAGCGGUAAGGCAGCGGGUUUUGAUCCCGCCAUUCCCAGGUUCAAAUCCUGGUACUCCAGCCA